RNAcentral lists this long non-coding RNA (2996 nucleotides) under Canis lupus familiaris (dog). Its description in RNAcentral is "lncRNA (ENSCAFG00845026234.1)". Lineage: Eukaryota; Metazoa; Chordata; Mammalia; Carnivora; Canidae. The record is from RNAcentral.
CACUCCUAAACACAAAUUAUCUAAAAACCUAAAAGCAUGAUGUAUGGAAGAGAAAAACAAUGUAGAUUUUAAAACAUAGCUUCUCUCUGCUUCCCUACAUUGUAUUAUUUAUACACAUAUAAUAUGUAUAUACAUAUAUUCUUAUACAUAUGGAAAUUGAUACAAAAUAUGUUUGAUCUUAAAAAAGAAAACCAUUUUGUGUGCUUUGUCAGACUCUCCUGCUUCAGUGUCUUCUAUUCUGAAGUAAUACAAAUGGGCAUAUUAAACUUAGGGUGUGAGAUGAGAUAUCUGGACCACACAGAACAAAUCAUUUUCUAAAGAUCAAAUAAGUUUUCUAAAGACUCUGUAGACUCACAGUAGGCCAGUCAGAAAGAGCAGUGAAUUAAAAAAUCCAUUGCCAUGACCCCAGUGACCUUGGAAAAAUGACCUUGAUUCUCUAUAAAAAGUUCCUCUUUUUUAAAAUGCAGAGAUAAAUUACAAGAACCUGUGAGAAUUCUUUUCAUUUCCUGUACUCCUGGUACAUGACAAAUGCUCAGGAGAUAAUAGCUAUUAUUUGUGGCAACAUAGAAUUAAAAAUCAGCUUAGAUAUGUGAAUAUUAUUUGUAGAACUAUAACAAAUUCUUGUCCAACUUAAAGCACAUAUCACUGGGUAUGAGUUGGGGGAAAGCCUAUCCAGUUUUGAACUCAUGCAACCUUGGAACUGUGCAUCUAGGAUGAUUUAGCAAAAUGAUCUUAAACACCACAGAAAGAAUGCUUUUCUUCUGUUAUAAUCUAUGCUGAACACUGGCCAAUUCCUUGGUUAUACUCUCCAUGAAUUGGAUCAGUUUUUAAAAAUAAACAAGUCUCAAACAUUUAUUUUCUUAUGGUAGUCAGCAAGAUAUAUAGGUAGGUAAAUAGAAUUAUAUUAACGAAGUUGUCUCCUUAAACACAGUAUAGUAUUUACUUUUUUUUCCUCAGAGUAUUUUGAAAUUCAGAAUCAGUUACUAUGUUUCACCCUAUUAUUUUUUAAAAAGGAUUUUAGUAAAUUCUAUGAAGAAAACCUGUAGACCCAGCCUCUGUGGCCAUUCUUAGAGUCCUGAAUAAAAAGUAUUAUAAGAAAACUUAUCCACAUGAAUGAAUUUUUUAUUUAUUUAUUUUUUAAUGAAUUUUUUAAAUUAGCUUUUCGUCCAGAACAAAGGUAUUUAUUUUUGCUGUGACAUAGAGUCUUCUUGAGGUAUAUGACCCCUAUAAACAUUUAUAUAAACAGGCUAGUUAUGUGGUAUAUGUAUCAGACACAUUCGCUUAUUUAUAUAUAGCUUGUAUUUUAAUCAGUUGACAUAAAAGAAAGCUUUACAUAACUAUAGUGUUUCUAGAAAAGGACUAAUGUUAAGUAGUAAAUUAUAUGAAUGAUAUGUCCAUGAAAAUUAUGUAAUGUAGUAAAUGGCUUUCUGAACUGCCAAAUAGUAACAGAUGUUUCAUAAAAGAUAUUAGAAUUUUAAAAGUUUGGAAAAUAUAACAACUCUAAGUUAGAUGACGAUUUUUGCUUCAGAACUUGGCACUCUUUAAAAAUGCUAAUGCACAUUAACUCUAGAAAUCUGUUUUUUUUUUAUUUUUAUUUUUUAUGAGUGGUCUCCUCUGAGUAGAGCUUCAUAGAAUGAAUUUUGAAAAUGCUAUGAUACAAAAUUUAUAAUUUGUACACAUUUUUUCCUUCAGUCUUGAAAAUUAAUUGCUAUUUCCAUAAUGAUCUCCUUAGGCUUUUAAAGGAGCAAAGAUGGAUAGUGUCACCUUCAGAGCCAUUUUAAUGAGCCACGGGAAGUCUUACUCAAUUUUAUUAUCCAGUUUCCUCCUAUUUUCUGAUUUCCCAGGGCUCCACCAGAACAUCAACUUUAGUCUCAGGAGUCAAGCUGAGGAUUUUCUUUUUCUUUCUUUCUUUUUUUUUGUUUUUGUUUUUGUUUUUGUUUUCAUCAGACAGGUUGGAUGGCUCCCCUAACUCCAACAGCUUUGGAUGAAGUAAUAUAUGACUCCGUAGCAUUAGGAGAUGUUAAGUAGCCAGUGAACUGUAUGCCAGGAGCAGUAGAAGACUAUAAGAGUGCUAUCCAGAAGUUAUUUUAGGAACUUUUUUUCAGAUUUUUCUAAUUUACCUCAAUAAGCGAAGUUACAUGGACAUAUCUAUAACAUUUAUCAUAAUAAUGUGUUUCUACUCCUACAUAUUCAAGAUUAUUUCCACCUUUUACUUCCCUAUAUGUUGUGGUUCUCUGUCACAUUCUUUCUGAAGAGCUCAAAUCACAUCAUUAACUCUAGUAUAACCACCCCACACUCCCAAGGAUGUAUUAAAAACUCUAAAUGGAUAGAGAGAAAAGUUCUUAUUCUGGGAAGACAAGUACCCACCUCAAUAAUCUAGGACAAAUCAAGCAGCAAAAUUAGGGGAAGACCCUGGUUAGUUCUAUCUGGUCACAAGAGAAAAGCCAGUAGAAAUGCUUUCUUGCUCUUUGCAUAAUAACAAAGAGCCCCAAAUUCAAUUCUUAAGAAAUAAGGAGCUGAGACACAGUUCUUAAGAAAUAAGGAGCUGUCCAAGUGGACAAAGUGGGAGUGGGGGGCACAAGGAAAAUACAAGUAAUGAUGACUAGGCCAAAAGAUAAAAAGUCCACAUAAAUUAAAGGAAAAAUAAGCAAUUAUGUUACUAAAUGAUGGUAACCAGCACCAUCAGUUAAUCCAAUCUUCACAUAUGCAAAACACUGAUAGAGGCAGAUGCUAAAUAAACAAAGGUAGGUAUAGGAAUAUUAAUGUCUAACAAGAAGUAAUUUAAAAUGAAAUUAACUUAAAGGCAAAAAGGUUUAUUUUGAAUUGAUAAAAAUUUACUCGGAAAAUGGAACAGUCCUGAACUUAUGUGUGCUUAACAAUAUGACUUCAAACACAUAAAGCAAAAACUGAUAUAAAUAUACACACACAAAAAUUCCACAAGGAACCUUUUUAAUAUACUUAACUCACAAAUACAUCAAGAAGCCAAAAGAAAAAAA